GUGGGGAAUCUUCCACAAUGGACGAAAGUCUGAUGGAGCAACGCCGCGUGAGUGAAGAAGGGUUUCGGCUCGUAAAGCUCUGUUGUCGGGGACGAAUGUGCAGUAUUUGAAUAAAGUACUGUAAUGACGGUACCUGACGAGGAAGCCACGGCUAACUACGUGCCAGCAGCCGCGGUAAUACGUAGGUGGCAAGCGUUGUCCGGAAUUAUUGGGCGUAAAGGGAGCGCAGGCGGGAAGGUAAGGCGGUCUUAAAAGUGCGGGGCUCAACCCCGUGAUGGGAUCGAAACUAUCUUUCUUGAGUGCAGGAGAGGAAAGUGGAAUUCCUAGUGUAGCGGUGAAAUGCGUAGAUAUUAGGAGGAACACCAGUGGCGAAGGCGACUUUCUGGACUGUAACUGACGCUGAGGCUCGAAAGCCAGGGGAGCGAACGGGAUUAGAUACCCCAGUAGUCC
This 450-nucleotide ribosomal RNA is filed under the name uncultured bacterium. Its description in RNAcentral is "partial 16S ribosomal RNA". It matches the Rfam family "Bacterial small subunit ribosomal RNA", at positions 354 to 796 of the family's 1533-position model. The record is from RNAcentral.